Desarmillaria tabescens is the source of this 91-nucleotide non-coding RNA. The record is from the annotation of a RefSeq genome assembly. Lineage: Eukaryota; Fungi; Basidiomycota; Agaricomycetes; Agaricales; Physalacriaceae.
UCCCUCUUAGCUCAGUUGGUAGAGCGCGUCACUAGUAUGCGCCCGGCAGUGGUCUAUGACGAGGUCAGUCGUUCAAGUCGGCUAGAGGGAA